RNAcentral lists this ribosomal RNA (710 nucleotides) under Eriogonum sp. ERFA1. RNAcentral's name for it is "eukaryotic LSU rRNA". The stretch from base 300 to 455 matches the Rfam family "5.8S ribosomal RNA". Lineage: Eukaryota; Viridiplantae; Streptophyta; Magnoliopsida; Caryophyllales; Polygonaceae. The record is from RNAcentral.
GAAGUCGUAACAAGGUUUCCGUAGGUGAACUGCGGAAGGAUCAUUGUCGAAACCUGCACAGCAGAACGACCCGCGAAUCUGUUUACCAAACCCCGAGGGGUGGGGCCAGCCCCGUCCCCCUCGUCGCCCGAGCGUGCCGCCUCCCCCUCCCCGUCAAAAGGGCGGUGGAGCAGCGCGGGAAGGCAAGUACCCAAACACCGGCGCGGGUUGCGCCAAGGACUAUGAAAUUCUACCGCGUCCCGCGGCCCUGGGCGACCGGGCGCCGCGGCGAGGGCGCGUCGAAAGAUCUAUAACAAAACGACUCUCGGCAACGGAUAUCUCGGCUCUCGCAUCGAUGAAGAACGUAGCGAAAUGCGAUACUUGGUGUGAAUUGCAGAAUCCCGUGAACCAUCGAGUCUUUGAACGCAAGUUGCGCCCGAAGCCAUCCGGCCGAGGGCACGUCUGCCUGGGCGUCACGCAUCGCGUCGCCCCCUCCCCCUCUUCAACUGAUGUCGAGCGGAGAGAGGGGCGGAUUAUGGCCCCCCGUGCGCCCCCGCGCGCGGCCGGCCUAAACACGGAGCCCGUGGCCGCGAGCGCCGCGACGUUUGGUGGUUGAAUCUCGAGCAUCGCGUCGCGUGCAGGAGCAUCCCCGGAGAGCUCGGAGGACCCUUAGGCGCAGCAGCAGCCUACCCUUGCGACCCCAGGUCAGGCGGGACUACCCGCUGAGUUUA